This 497-nucleotide ribosomal RNA is filed under the name uncultured bacterium. RNAcentral describes it as "partial 16S ribosomal RNA". It matches the Rfam family "Bacterial small subunit ribosomal RNA", at positions 28 to 507 of the family's 1533-position model. The record is from RNAcentral.
GAUGAACGCUGGCGGCGUGCCUAAUACAUGCAAGUCGAGCGAACGGACUAGAAGCUUGCUUCUCUGAUGUUAGCGGCGGACGGGUGAGUAACACGUGGAUAACCUACCUAUAAGACUGGGAUAACUUCGGGAAACCGUAGCUAAUACCGGAUAAUAUUUUGAACCGCAUGGUUCAAAAGUGAAAGACGGUCUUGCUGUCACUUAUAGAUGGAUCCGCGCUGCAUUAGCUAGUUGGUAAGGUAACGGCUUACCAGGGCAACGAUGCAUAGCCGACCUGAGAGGGUGAUCGGCCACACUGGAACUGAGACACGGUCCAGACUCCUACGGGAGGCAGCAGUAGGGAAUCUUCCGCAAUGGGCGAAAGCCUGACGGAGCAACGCCGCGUGAGUGAUGAAGGUCUUCGGAUCGUAAAACUCUGUUAUUAGGGAAGAACAUAUGUGUAAGUAACUGUGCACAUCUUGACGGUACCUAAUCAGAAAGCCACGGCUAACUACGUG